Molecule: long non-coding RNA, 242 nt
Filed under: Fukomys damarensis (Damara mole-rat)
Lineage: Eukaryota; Metazoa; Chordata; Mammalia; Rodentia; Bathyergidae
Description: lncRNA (ENSFDAG00000023299.1)
Source: RNAcentral
CAAUUUUUACCUACCUAUUAUCUUCACAUAGGUCUUCGAUUUUAGAAAAUAACUGCUGGUUACCUAAGAGGUAGCAUCACAGUGAGAAAGCCUCUAAAUCCAUUGCAGGCAAGGAUUGAUUCAUGCAGAUUUGAAGGACAAUUUUCUGAAGACUCUUCUGUUUUUUUCUCUUCCUCCUGGGACUUCUCUCCACUACUAUUAUCAAAUUAAGUAAGUAAUGGAUGUAAAAUUCCUCUUUUAUA